Molecule: ribosomal RNA, 506 nt
Filed under: uncultured bacterium
Lineage: Bacteria
Description: partial 16S ribosomal RNA
Rfam family: Bacterial small subunit ribosomal RNA
Source: RNAcentral
AGUGAACGCUGGCGGUAGGCCUAACACAUGCAAGUCGAACGGCAGCACAGGAGAGCUUGCUCUCUGGGUGGCGAGUGGCGGACGGGUGAGGAAUACAUCGGAAUCUACUUUUUCGUGGGGGAUAACGUAGGGAAACUUACGCUAAUACCGCACACGACCUACGGGUGAAAGCAGGGGACCUUCGGGCCUUGCGCGAUUGAAUGAGCCGAUGUCGGAUUAGCUAGUUGGCGGGGUAAAGGCCCACCAAGGCGACGAUCCGUAGCUGGUCUGAGAGGAUGAUCAGCCACACUGGAACUGAGACACGGUCCAGACUCCUACGGGAGGCAGCAGUGGGGAAUAUUGGGCAAUGGGCGCAAGCCUGAUCCAGCCAUACCGCGUGGGUGAAGAAGGCCUUCGGGUUGUAAAGCCCUUUUGUUGGGAAAGAAAUCCAGCUGGCUAAUACCCGGUUGGGAUGACGGUACCCAAAGAAUAAGCACCGGCUAACUUCGUGCCAGCCGCCGCAGUAA